RNAcentral lists this ribosomal RNA (253 nucleotides) under uncultured bacterium. RNAcentral describes it as "partial 16S ribosomal RNA". It matches the Rfam family "Bacterial small subunit ribosomal RNA", at positions 524 to 776 of the family's 1533-position model. The record is from RNAcentral.
UACAGAGGGGGCAAGCGUUGUCCGGAAUUACUGGGCGUAAAGGGCGCGUAGGCGGCCUGUUAAGUCGAACGUGAAAUCCCCGGGCUCAACCCGGGAACUGCGUCCGAUACUGGCAGGCUUGAAUCCGGGAGAGGGAUGCGGAAUUCCAGGUGUAGCGGUGAAAUGCGUAGAUAUCGGGAGGAACACCUGUGGCGAAGGCGGCCCCCUGGUUGGAUACUGACGCUGAGACGCGAAAGCGUGGGGAGCAAACAGG